RNAcentral lists this Y RNA (90 nucleotides) under Zalophus californianus (California sea lion). Its description in RNAcentral is "Y RNA (ENSZCAG00015005408.1)". It matches the Rfam family "Y RNA", at positions 5 to 88 of the family's 96-position model. From Rfam's summary of the family: Y RNAs are components of the Ro ribonucleoprotein particle (Ro RNP), in association with Ro60 and La proteins. Lineage: Eukaryota; Metazoa; Chordata; Mammalia; Carnivora; Otariidae. The record is from RNAcentral.
GGUCCCAGUACAAUGGUGUUUACAAUGAAUUGAUCACAGCCAGUUACAGAUUUCUUUACUCCUUCUCCACUCCCAUUGCUUGACUUGACU